This 222-nucleotide long non-coding RNA is filed under the name Hordeum vulgare. RNAcentral's name for it is "long non-coding RNA (HVUL_LNC011175)". The record is from RNAcentral. Lineage: Eukaryota; Viridiplantae; Streptophyta; Magnoliopsida; Poales; Poaceae.
UUUAACUUUCCUGGUCAUAAACUUCCACGCUACAACCAAAACUAGCAGAUAAUUUGAUUUACAAAUAAAAACUAGCAAGACAAGAAAGGAAGAAACCUUUCACAAGUCUAAUCAGCCGUCAACUACCCCUGUCCCAAUGCCUCACGAUUCUCCCACAAAACAAAGGCAAACCCCCCGAAAACAAACAGCCACUCGACAUAUAUAUAUUAGUAGCAUCUGCCC